GUGAGGAAUAUUGGUCAAUGGACGAGAGUCUGAACCAGCCAAGUCGCGUGAAGGAAGACGGUUCUAUGAAUUGUAAACUUCUUUUGUGCAGGAAUAAAGUGGGUUACGUGUAACCUUUUGUAUGUACUGUACGAAUAAGGAUCGGCUAACUCCGUGCCAGCAGCCGCGGUAAUACGGAGGAUCCGAGCGUUAUCCGGAUUUAUUGGGUUUAAAGGGUGCGUAGGUGGAUUGAUAAGUCAGCGGUGAAAGUUUGCAGCUUAACUGUAAAAUUGCCGUUGAAAUUGUCGGACUUGAGUGCAAAUGAGGUAGGCGGAAUGUGUUGUGUGGCGGUGAAAUGCUUAGAUAUAACACAGAACACCGAUUGCGAAGGCAGCUUACUGGGAUGCAAAUGACACUGAUGCACGAAAGCGUGGGUAUCAAACAGGAUUAGAUACCCGAGUAGUCC
RNAcentral lists this ribosomal RNA (445 nucleotides) under uncultured bacterium. RNAcentral describes it as "partial 16S ribosomal RNA". It matches the Rfam family "Bacterial small subunit ribosomal RNA", at positions 354 to 796 of the family's 1533-position model. The record is from RNAcentral.